Molecule: ribosomal RNA, 474 nt
Filed under: uncultured soil bacterium
Lineage: Bacteria
Description: bacterial SSU rRNA
Rfam family: Bacterial small subunit ribosomal RNA
Source: RNAcentral
AGAUUGAACGCUGGCGGCAUGCUUUACACAUGCAAGUCGAACGGCAGCACGGGGGCAACCUUGGUGGCGAGUGGCGAACGGGUGAGUAAUGCAUCGGAACGUAUCCUUAAGUGGGGGAUAACGCAUCGAAAGAUGCGCUAAUACCGCAUAAUCUCUGAGGAGAAAAAGCAGGGGGAUCGCAAGACCUUGCGCUUUUGGAGCGGCCGAUGUCUGAUUAGCUAGUUGGUGAGGUAAAGGCUUACCAAGGCUUCGAUCAGUAGCUGGUCUGAGAGGACGACCAGCCACACUGGGACUGAGACACGGCCCAGACUCCUACGGGAGCAGCAGUGGGAAUUUGGACAAGUGGGGAACCUGGAUCCAGCCAUGCCGCGUGAGUGAAGAAGGCCUUGGUGUAAAGCUCUUCAGCGAACGAAAGUUACGUAAUACCGUGACGUAAUGACGGUACCGAAGAAGAGACGACCGCUAACUACGUCG